This 226-nucleotide ribosomal RNA is filed under the name uncultured bacterium. RNAcentral's name for it is "partial 16S ribosomal RNA". It matches the Rfam family "Bacterial small subunit ribosomal RNA", at positions 118 to 341 of the family's 1533-position model. The record is from RNAcentral.
UGAGGAACAUGACCUUCGGCGGGGGAGUAGCCGGCCCAACGGCCGGGUAAUACCGCGUACGACCACAUGGGGACAUCCCUGAGUGGUGAAAGCAGCAAUGCGCCGAUGGAGUGCCUCGCGGCCUAUCAGCUAGUUGGUGAGGUAACGGCUCACCAAGGCAACGAUCCGUAGCUGGUCUGAGAGGAUGAUCAGCCACACUGGGACUGAGACACGGCCCAGACCUCCG